This is a small nuclear RNA of Suricata suricatta (meerkat), 164 nucleotides long. Its record names the gene U1. It matches the Rfam family "U1 spliceosomal RNA". Rfam says of the family: U1 is a small nuclear RNA (snRNA) component of the spliceosome (involved in pre-mRNA splicing). Its 5' end forms complementary base pairs with the 5' splice junction, thus defining the 5' donor site of an intron. The record is from Ensembl. NCBI's taxonomy places the organism in Eukaryota, Metazoa, Chordata, Mammalia, Carnivora, Herpestidae.
AUACUUACCUGGCAGGGGAGAUACCAUGAUCAAGAAGGUGGUUUUCCCAGGGCGAGGCUUAUCCAUUGCACUCCGGAUGUGCUGACCCCUGCGAUUUCCCCAAAUGUGGGAAACUCGACUGCAUAAUUUGUGGUAGUGGGGGACUGCGUUCGCGCUCUCCCCUG